Molecule: transfer RNA, 87 nt
Filed under: Candidatus Omnitrophota bacterium
Lineage: Bacteria; Pseudomonadati; Candidatus Omnitrophota
Description: tRNA-Leu
Rfam family: tRNA
About the family: Transfer RNA (tRNA) molecules are approximately 80 nucleotides in length.
Source: RNAcentral
GGGCGGGUGGUGGAACUGGAAUGCACGAGGGACUUAAAAUCCCUUGGCCGUAAGGUCGUGAGGGUUCAAAUCCCUCCCCGCCCACCA